GAUCAUGGCUCAGAUUGAACGCUGGCGGCAUGCCUAACACAUGCAAGUCGAACGGCAGCACAGCAGUAGCAAUACUGUGGGUGGCGAGUGGCGGACGGGUGAGGAAUACGUCGGAAUCUGCCCAGUCGUGGGGGAUAACUAGCCGAAAGGUUAGCUAAUACCGCAUACGACCGAGAGGUGAAGCGGGGGACCGCAAGGCCUCGCGCGAUUGGAUGAGCCGACGUCGGAUUAGCUAGUUGGCGGGGUAAAGGCCCACCAAGGCGACGAUCUGUAGCUGGUCUGAGAGGACGACCAGCCACACUGGAACUGAGACACGGUCCAGACUCCUACGGGAGGCAGCAGUGGGGAAUUUUGGACAAUGGGCGCAAGCCUGAUCCAGCCAUUCCGCGUGCAGGAUGAAGGCCUUCGGGUUGUAAACUGCUUUUGUACGGAACGAAACGGCGAGCUCUAAUACAGUUUGCUAAUGACGGUACCGUAAGAAUAAGCACCGGCUAACUACGUG
RNAcentral lists this ribosomal RNA (502 nucleotides) under uncultured bacterium. RNAcentral describes it as "bacterial SSU rRNA". It matches the Rfam family "Bacterial small subunit ribosomal RNA", at positions 15 to 507 of the family's 1533-position model. The record is from RNAcentral.